CACGUAGGCGGAUCUUUAAGUCAGGGGUGAAAUCCUGGAGCUCAACUCCAGAACUGCCUUUGAUACUGAGGAUCUCGAGUCCGGAAGAGGUGAGUGGAACUCCGAGUGUAGAGGUGAAAUUCGUAGAUAUUCGGAAGAACACCAGUGGCGAAGGCGGCUCACUGGUCCGGUACUGACGCUGAGGUGCGAAAGCGUGGGGAGCAAACA
This 207-nucleotide ribosomal RNA is filed under the name uncultured bacterium. RNAcentral describes it as "partial 16S ribosomal RNA". It matches the Rfam family "Bacterial small subunit ribosomal RNA", at positions 568 to 774 of the family's 1533-position model. The record is from RNAcentral.